RNAcentral lists this long non-coding RNA (344 nucleotides) under Medicago truncatula (barrel medic). RNAcentral's name for it is "lncRNA gene634". The record is from RNAcentral. Lineage: Eukaryota; Viridiplantae; Streptophyta; Magnoliopsida; Fabales; Fabaceae.
UAUCAAAAGUCCUAUACCCGGGCUGAGUGAACUUAUGUUUAGGUAGAGAUAUAAUCGACAAUUCGAUCCGGGGGUUGCCUCGUGUAUUGGAUUAUGCGAUCAAUCUCACAUAGCUGAGGCAUUUUGAAGGUGAUAUUGUCGGCGUGUGUUGUCAUGCUUAGGCACUUCACUUUCAAUUGUUCGACGAAGCUAUGAACCGUAGUUACCAAACCCAUCCUAGCCUUUUUAGGACGUAGUGCGGUGGCUAAAUUGAGUGUUGUCUCAAACUUUAGUCGUCACGCGAUACUACACUCAAACUAGACCUUCUCACAAAUAAUCAUGGAACGGGUGUCGUCCUGUACUAC